GUUUUCACCAAGUAGCUAUCGAUCCACGCUGGGUUAAUAACCCUACAACAACGGUCCAUCAAGCAGUUGUUGCACCAAGCGGUUCUUCUGCUAUUCAAAAUGUUGCAGGCCAGGAACAGCUGGGUAAUGCAAUUGCCAUCUAGUUUAUCGGAGAAACAAGUGAACUGAUUUUUGACAUAAGAUAAAUGAAGAUGCAUGAGACGUUAUAUGUGCGUUGGUGUUGGUAUAUGGUAAUAUAGUUCUGGUCAUCAAUUUCACGAGCUUCCUUUGACUCCCCAAAGGAUGUGGAACACCUAUUUUUAUAUUUUAACUGUGAAUAGGUAACGAUGACAGCAACGGGAAUCAACUUAUAUAAAGAUUCUAUGGGCCUCUUUUUGGACGCCAUCUAGAAUUAAAGAAUGCGUUUGCUAAGUCACUAACAUUAACACCAUCACAAUUGUAGAUAUUGUCCAUCGGAAAGAGUAAAUAUUACAUUCAACGGUUAUCACGGAUUACAAAACGAACAAAUUUGAUACUCAUAAGACGCAGAUCAACAUGGUUGAGAAAAUACUUCGGAAUGUGGUUCCCCGUAUGAGCGGUGCAGAACGAGGGACCUUGCGAGGAGAAUCGUCUAGUUGUUCGGAUGGUACGAAAACCCAAGGGAAAUGUACAUAUUGGCAUACAUUAAAAUAAACCCUUGGCAGUAAACAUUUGAAAUACAAGUCGGUCAUAGCGCCACUGUCCAGGCAAAAUGUUCACUCAUACCACACUGCAUGGUGUAUGCACAUCUUCAUUUGCCCGGAUGGAACAGACAAGGAUGUUAAAAGCCAUUUCGUUUCUUUUCACACUGAUUAUGACAAGAACGCAUUCAUUAAUUUCGGGCAGUGCUUAAA
Patella vulgata (common limpet) is the source of this 872-nucleotide long non-coding RNA. RefSeq lists it as uncharacterized. The transcript is spliced from 3 exons. The record is from RefSeq and is a predicted model, not a curated record. Lineage: Eukaryota; Metazoa; Mollusca; Gastropoda; Patellidae.